UAUCUAGGGUUUUUUCCCACUUUCUCAUCCGCGACUCUGCUCCUCCCGCCGUCUCUUUCCUGCAACCCCUCCUUCUACGGCUCUUCUCCUCGCCGGCUCUUCUCCUCUGACAACUCUCCUUCCCGUCGACUCUUCUCCCAUGAUUGCUUUACUGCUCAUGUUCUCGUGAUUGCUCCCGCACCAUUGGUGCUACAACUCUUCUCCUCCUCGCCAUCUCUUUAUUUCUUUUUUUAUUGCUUCGUAGAGAGUCUUCCUGUGGUGAAGACAGUGGUUUUUUAUGUAUUCUUUUUUUUUUCUAUGAUCAUCUUAUCGUUUUAAAGGUUCGGGCCUUUUGUGGCAUUGCGUGUUCUUAAAGUUGAGUGAAGAGGAGUUGUGUUUUAAGAUGUAUAAAGUAUUAUGUAGAAACUUUGGAACCAUUUUUACAAAAUUUUAACAGUAUUUUUGAUUAACUAUUCCAAAAUUCAUGGAUUCUCAAUAUGUAGUUCAACUUGGGAACCUUGCAUUUGAUUUAAUCUCAUACUGCCGCUGGUUUGCUUUUGUAGGAUUUUUUUUUUCUAUGAAGUGCCUCACGGUGCGAUGCAAGCAUACAGAGAAGCCGUGGAAACCCAAUGGAUUCAUUACAAACAACUUGUUAAUUCUGUGCAUCAGAAAGAGUGCGAGACAUCUCUUUGUAAUUCAAUUGCAGGUGAAUAUGUUGAGGAUGUAUAUAAAGAAGAGGAAGGUGAAAUUGACACUUAUCUUCUGCCUAUAAAAUUUGAAGAUGGCCCAUCAUCAAGGCUUGCUCACAAGAAAAGAAAGCAUAUGAGGCAAAAAUGAGAUCUAUGGUCAGAGUUCAUUACAUGUGUAUCUAUGGCCAAGAAAAAUAUGGGAGUUGAAACUAUUGCAGACUUGGAUAGGCAGUUGCCAUUUGAAGGUAAUUAUUGAUAUUGCUAGUUCUGAAGCUGGAAUUAUUCAGAAGUUCAUUGCCAAAGAAGGCGAUACAGUGACUCCUGGGACCAAAACUGCUGUUAUCUCUAAGUCUGCUCCUACUAACACUCAUGUGGCACUAUCAAAUGAGAUGGUAAGGAUACUUCACCUGUUGUUCCCGUCCAGAAGAACAAUGAUACACAAGUGCCAAAAGUGGAAGCUUCCGUUAAAGAGAAGUCAACUAAUUUAUAGUAUUAUAUAUAUAUAUAUAUAUAUAUAUUAAUCAACUUAAGUUUAAUCGUUAUUAUAUAUGUACUAGCUAGUUUGUUAGAGAUUCAUAUGUUGUUUUGGAUCUUCAGUCCUUUUAUUUUAGUAUAAUAAAAAAUAAUGACUUUUAUUAA
Long non-coding RNA from Zingiber officinale, 1307 nucleotides. RefSeq lists it as uncharacterized. NCBI's taxonomy places the organism in Eukaryota, Viridiplantae, Streptophyta, Magnoliopsida, Zingiberales, Zingiberaceae. The record is from RefSeq and is a predicted model, not a curated record. The transcript has 5 exons.